Molecule: ribosomal RNA, 459 nt
Filed under: uncultured bacterium
Lineage: Bacteria
Description: partial 16S ribosomal RNA
Rfam family: Bacterial small subunit ribosomal RNA
Source: RNAcentral
CCUACGGGAGGCAGCAGUGAGGAAUAUUGGUCAAUGGUCGGGAGACUGAACCAGCCAAGCCGCGUGAGGGAUGAAGGUACAGAGUAUCGUAAACCUCUUUUGUCAGGGAACAAAGGCGGGGACGUGUCCCCGGAUGAGUGUACCUGAAGAAAAAGCAUCGGCUAACUCCGUGCCAGCAGCCGCGGUAAUACGGAGGAUGCGAGCGUUAUCCGGAUUUAUUGGGUUUAAAGGGUGCACAGGCGGACUGUUAAGUCAGCGGUAAAAGCCCGGGGCUCAACCCCGGCCCGCCGUUGAAACUGGCAGUCUCGAGUUGGAGAGAAGUAUGCGGAAUGCGCGGUGUAGCGGUGAAAUGCAUAGAUAUCGCGCAGAACUCCGAUUGCGAAGGCAGCAUGCCGGCUCCACACUGACGCUGAGGCACGAAAGCGUGGGUAUCGAACAGGAUUAGAUACCCUUGUAGUC